GGUCUUGUGGUCUAGUGGUAUGAUUCCUGCUUCGGGCUCAUCACUCGAAGUCCUGAUUCUUCAAGAAUCACGUUUGCAGGAGGCCCCGGGUUCAAAUCCCGGCAAGACCC
Molecule: non-coding RNA, 110 nt
Organism: Cladobotryum mycophilum
Lineage: Eukaryota; Fungi; Ascomycota; Sordariomycetes; Hypocreales; Hypocreaceae
Source: the annotation of a GenBank genome assembly